GCCAGCGUAGCGCAAUGGUAGAGCGUCAGGUUUUUGCCUUUCGGAAAUUUUCGAAUUGUUAUGCAACCUGAAUGUUGCGGUCGACCCCCGCCGUUGGCU
RNAcentral lists this transfer RNA (99 nucleotides) under Penicillium freii. It matches the Rfam family "tRNA". Rfam says of the family: Transfer RNA (tRNA) molecules are approximately 80 nucleotides in length. Their secondary structure includes four short double-helical elements and three loops (D, anti-codon, and T loops). The record is from Rfam by way of RNAcentral. Lineage: Eukaryota; Fungi; Ascomycota; Eurotiomycetes; Eurotiales; Aspergillaceae.